ACGGAGGAUGCAAGCGUUAUCCGGAUUCAUUGGGUUUAAAGGGUGCGUAGGCGGUCUAUUAAGUCAGUGGUGAAAGCCCGUCGCUUAACGAUAGGACUGCCAUUGAUACUGUGGGACUUGAGUAUGGAUAAGGUAGGCGGAAUGUGUAGUGGAGCGGUGAAAUGCAUAGAUAUUACACAGAACGCCAAUUGCGAAGGCAGCUUACUAGUCCAUGACUGACGCUGAGGCACGUAAGCGUGGGGAUCGAACAG
RNAcentral lists this ribosomal RNA (251 nucleotides) under uncultured prokaryote. Its description in RNAcentral is "partial 16S rRNA". It matches the Rfam family "Bacterial small subunit ribosomal RNA", at positions 525 to 775 of the family's 1533-position model. The record is from RNAcentral.